Molecule: ribosomal RNA, 1271 nt
Filed under: uncultured Blautia sp.
Lineage: Bacteria; Bacillati; Bacillota; Clostridia; Lachnospirales; Lachnospiraceae
Description: bacterial LSU rRNA
Rfam family: Bacterial large subunit ribosomal RNA
Source: RNAcentral
GAAGUCCGUGAGCCAUGCGUCAAGAAAAGCCGCUAUUGUUUAUACCGUACCCGUACCGUAAACCGACACAGGUGGAUGAGGAGAGAAUCCUAAGGCCGGCGGAAGAAGCAUUGUCAAGGAACUCGGCAAAAUGACCCCGUAACUUCGGGAGAAGGGGUGCCACUGAGAAGUGGCCGCAGAGAAUAGGCUCAAGCAACUGUUUAGCAAAAACACAGGUCUAUGCGAAACCGAAAGGUGAGGUAUAUGGGCUGACGCCUGCCCGGUGCUGGAAGGUUAAGAGGAGAGGUUAGCGCAAGCGAAGCUUUGAAUUUAAGCCCCAGUAAACGGCGGCCGUAACUAUAACGGUCCUAAGGUAGCGAAAUUCCUUGUCGGGUAAGUUCCGACCCGCACGAAAGGCGUAAUGAUUUGAGCGCUGUCUCGACAAUGCAUCCGGUGAAAUUGAAGUACCAGUGAAGAUGCUGGUUACCUGCGCCAGGACGGAAAGACCCCAUGGAGCUUUACUCCAGUUUGGUACUGGGGUCCGGUAUUGCAUGUACAGGAUAGGUGGGAGGCUAGGAAGCAGUAACGCCAGUUGCUGCGGAGCCGCUGUUGGGAUACCACCCUUGCAGUACUGGGCUUCUAACCAGCCGCCGUGAACCGGCGGUGGGACAAUGCCAGACGGGGAGUUUGACUGGGGCGGUCGCCUCCGAAAGGGUAUCGGAGGCGCCCAAAGGUUCCCUCAGAAUGGACGGAAACCAUUCGAAGAGUGCAAAGGCAGAAGGGAGCUUGACUGCGACACCGACGGGUGGAGCAGGUACGAAAGUAGGGCUUAGUGAUCCGGUGGUAUUAAGUGGGAAUGCCAUCGCUCAACGGAUAAAAGCUACCCUGGGGAUAACAGGCUUAUCACUCCCAAGAGUUCACAUCGACGGAGUGGUUUGGCACCUCGAUGUCGGCUCAUCGCAUCCUGGGGCUGUAGUAGGUCCCAAGGGUUGGGCUGUUCGCCCAUUAAAGCGGUACGCGAGCUGGGUUCAGAACGUCGUGAGACAGUUCGGUCCCUAUCCGGCGUGGGCGUAGGAUAUCUGAGAGGAGCUGUCCUUAGUACGAGAGGACCGGGAUGGACGGACCGCUGGUGUACCGGUUAGACUGCCAAGUCUACGGCCGGGUAGCCAAGUCCGGAAGGGAUAAACGCUGAAGGCAUCUAAGCGUGAAGCCCCCCUCAAGAUGAGAUGUCCCAUUCGAAAGAAGUAAACCCCCUUGAAGACGACGAGGUAGAUAGGGCAGGGGUGGAAGUG